UCUAUUUAUUUGUAUUAUCGAGCCGGAGCCUGCAUGGGCACUGAUGAUAUGGGCCUGGGCUAGAAAAAAGAAGCGGAGGGAGAGAGAUGAAGACUGGCUACAUAGCUACAGUACAGCCAGUAGAUAGAGGCUAAGUCAAACUCAAAGUGCAAUAUCCAGCCAGAUUCCAGGUGCAGGAUGGCUACUCAAACAGCUACAGUUUUCAGUACUCUGGCCCAUGGAUGUGGCUCCUGGGAUGGUGAUUUGCAGAAAGAACUUGAUGAUGGAAUUGGAAAUAAGUCCAAGCUGCUGCCAAACAGAUCAAAUCUAGACGGUGAGUCGGAUGAUCAUCUGGAGAAACGGGUGCACAUUCCAAUCCGCAUCAAGUCCCAACUCUCUCAGAUCAAGAGCAUUCUUCGCGAGGCAUCCAAGAGAUACCCUGAACACUCCAAGGCAGCAGAGCAAAGCUUGGCUGACAUCAUCAAGAAGAAGACUGAAGGCACAGAGUAUUCUCAUCCGCAUGGCUUGAUGAAGUCUCGCCCUCGGACAGGUGUUAUCCGUGCCCACAAACAGCAGCACCGACCCGGCCUGGGGGUGGGGAUCAGGCCCCAUCGGUUUCAUCAGCGAGCAAAGAGUGCUCCAUCGUCUCGCCCUUCGUCUCAGAGUCAGACCCUGUCGAAGAAGAAAAGUUCAGCGUUGCCAAAAACCCUGACAACCAGGAAGGGUGCCCUCAUGAUCUUCACAUCGCCCAAGAAUGUAGCGUACUCGGUACCGGAGCAGAAAUGUUAUUAUGUUGAUCCUGAGGCUGUGAACUUGGACGAGUGGGCAACCAAUCUACGGUCUUUCAAAAGAUUAACUAAUAGUGUCAUGCAAUAUGGCUCUGAGAUUGGAGAUGAUAUUGAGUCUCUGGCCUCGGACUACGACACGUCUUGCUUCAAGUUUCAACGGCAAGAAGAUGAUGAUGUUGGUGUGGAUUAUAGGAUACAGCCCGGCGGUGACUUUGUCUUCUACCUCAAAGACUUGAAGACCAAAGCAGCUGUAAGGAACGUUGUAUCAUCCCUGUCGUAUGGCUCUACACCGGUCCUAUAUGAGGAAGAGGAAGGAGAAGAUGUGCAUCAAAGACUUGAUGAGGAUGAGACUGACACAUGGCCACAGGAGGAUGACAGCGUGCCGCCCAAGAUGGAAUUCCUACAUCCAGUUGGAACAGAGCCCAGAAACCGAGCAUGGGGGAGUCGGGCAGAAACAGAGAGCUUGAGCAAUGCUGAUGCUCUAACACAAGGCAAGACUGAGCUAAGCAAUGGUGGAGAAAAUAAUCUACGAUUUGCUCCAAGGAGUUCCACUGCACAAUCUGUGGAAUCAAAUUUGAUGGCCAGACCUGAUACUGCAAGGUCAACCAGAUCAGUUACAAGCCUCAGGUCAGGCACGCCUCUGUCUCUCAGAGAUCUCACAGCAUCUUUGAAAUCUGGUGGAUACCUCGGCCGACCAGUGAGUGCCCCUUUCCCACCAUACUCCCCACAUCCGCGAACAGCAUCACUGCCAACGGAAGAAGAGGAGGAGACGGAGGAUGAUGAUGAGGAGGAGGAGGAGGAUGAGGAGGAGAGGGCUGCUUCCGUGAUGUCACACUUGCGGCAAUCCUCCAGACCUCGCUCGAGCAGACCAAGCUCCAGGAGGACACAGGGCAGCGCAGAACCUGCGGAAGAUGUCAUUGAUGGGAGGAGCUCAAGGGGUACCAGGAGUAGGAAGUCAUCUGCAGGGGUGCGAUCCAAGCAUGGGAUGGAGGAGGAUGCUGUAGGUGAAGGGGAGGAUGAUGAUUGGCAGUCUGAAGAUCUUGCAGAGUUAGGGGUCGAUGACCUGGAGCCUGAUGCUGCCCUACCUCCACAGGUUGAUGAUAUUGGUGGAGAUAUUGAUGUAGGUGGGCAAGUCUUUGCACAGGCUGCUGAUCCUAGGAGCCAAUCAAGAGCAUCCUCUAUCCCGCCCAGGAUGUACACCCCACAGACCAGAUCUUCCCUGAGGUCUACCCCACCCCAGAGGGGGACCAGUGGCCAGGGUUGGGGGGCAUCGGAGGGGAGGAGGAGGCGGUGCUAGCCAGGAGUAGGCCAUCCUCUGGUGUAACACGAACAAGCUCUGCCAAAUCUAGACAGUCAAGCCGUAGCAGACCUGGUACCUCAGGUUCAGUCAGGUCUACUGGCCUAGGAGAGGAUAACAUUCAGGAGGAGGAGAUAGGUCCUAGUCCUACAGAAGGAUUGCAAGAACAGCCUGCUCAUCAUGGACAAGGUGAUGGAGACACUUUGCAACUUUUGGUGAAGGAGUUGGUAUAGUCCAAGAAUCUGAGGAAAACACCAGGCCUUCAUCCAUCCCGUCGCGCCCUUCAACCAGUCACAGCCCCGCCCCGCCUCAACCUGUGAUAGCAGACUCCCCCAAGCCCCCUACCCCAAAGCCUAUGAUCAUCACCCCCAAAGCUGCCCUCCGGUUGUACUCCACACCCCUACCCCGCCCUCGGCCAGAGUGAAGUCUGCUGUAGGGAAGGUCAAGGUUCAAGCAAAGACUGAGGAGAAGAAAAUGGC
Strongylocentrotus purpuratus (purple sea urchin) is the source of this 2543-nucleotide RNA transcript. It is a transcript of the gene named vicilin-like seed storage protein At2g18540, with no coding region annotated. The transcript is spliced from 9 exons. The record is from RefSeq and is a predicted model, not a curated record. Lineage: Eukaryota; Metazoa; Echinodermata; Echinoidea; Camarodonta; Strongylocentrotidae.